Oikopleura dioica is the source of this 46-nucleotide regulatory RNA element. It matches the Rfam family "Histone 3' UTR stem-loop". From Rfam's summary of the family: The mRNAs of metazoan histone genes lack a poly-A tail. NCBI's taxonomy places the organism in Eukaryota, Metazoa, Chordata, Appendicularia, Copelata, Oikopleuridae. The record is from Rfam.
UAAAUGGCUCUUUUCAGAGCCACAAAUAUUAUAAACUCCUCUCUAU